CCUACGGGACGCAGCAGUGGGGGAUAUUGGACAAUGGGGGGAACCCUGAUCCAGCGACGCCGCGUGAGUGAAGAAGUAUUUCGGUAUGUAAAGCUCUGUCAGCAGGGAAGAAAGAAAUGACGGUACCUGACCAAGAAGCCCCGGCUAACUCCGUGCCAGCAGCCGCAGUAAUACGUAGGGGGCAAGCGUUAUCCGGAAUUACUGGGUGUAAAGGGAGCGUAGACGGUUAAGUAAGUCUGGAGUGAAAGGCCGGGGCCCAACCCCGGGACUGCUCUGGAAACUAUUGAACUUGAGUGCAGGAGAGGUAAGCGGAAUUCCUAGUGUAGCGGUGAAAUGCGGAGAUAUUAGGAGGAACACCAGUGGCGAAGGCGGCUUACUAGACUGUAACUGACGUUGAGGCUCGAAAGCGUGGGGAGCAAACAGGAUUAGAUACCCGAGUAGUC
Molecule: ribosomal RNA, 443 nt
Filed under: uncultured bacterium
Lineage: Bacteria
Description: partial 16S ribosomal RNA
Rfam family: Bacterial small subunit ribosomal RNA
Source: RNAcentral